GACGAACGCUGGCGGCGUGCCUAAUACAUGCAAGUCGAACGCUUCUUUCCUCCCGAGUGCUUGCACUCAAUUGGAAAGAGGAGUGGCGGACGGGGGAGUAACACGUGGGUAACCUACCCAUCAGAGGGGGAUAACACUUGGAAACAGGUGCUAAUACCGCAUAACAGUUUAUGCCGCAUGGCAUAAGAGUGAAAGGCGCUUUCGGGUGUCGCUGAUGGAUGGACCCGCGGUGCAUUAGCUAGUUGGUGAGGUAACGGCUCACCAAGGCCACGAUGCAUAGCCGACCUGAGAGGGUGAUCGGCCACACUGGGACUGAGACACGGCCCAGACUCCUACGGGAGGCAGCAGUAGGGAAUCUUCGGCAAUGGACGAAAGUCUGACCGAGCAACGCCGCGUGAGUGAAGAAGGUUUUCGGAUCGUAAAACUCUGUUGUUAGAGAAGAACAAGGACGUUAGUAACUGAACGUCCCCUGACGGUAUCUAACCAGAAAGCCACGGCUAACUACGUG
This 508-nucleotide ribosomal RNA is filed under the name uncultured bacterium. RNAcentral's name for it is "partial 16S ribosomal RNA". It matches the Rfam family "Bacterial small subunit ribosomal RNA", at positions 28 to 507 of the family's 1533-position model. The record is from RNAcentral.